UGGGGAAUAUUGCACAAUGGGCGAAAGCCUGAUGCAGCGACGCCGCGUGCGGGAUGAAGGCCUUCGGGUUGUAAACCGCUUUUAAUUGGGAGCAAGCGAGAGUGAGUGUACCUUUUGAAUAAGCACCGGCUAACUACGUGCCAGCAGCCGCGGUAAUACGUAGGGUGCAAGCGUUAUCCGGAAUUAUUGGGCGUAAAGAGCUCGUAGGCGGUUUGUCACGCCUGGUGUGAAAGUCCAUCGCUUAACGGUGGAUCUGCGCCGGGUACGGGCAGGCUAGAGUGCAGUAGGGGAGAUUGGAAUUCCCGGUGUAACGGUGGAAUGUGUAGAUAUCGGGAAGAACACCAAUGGCGAAGGCAGAUCUCUGGGCUGUUACUGACGCUGAGGAGCGAAAGCAUGGGGAGCGAACAGGAUUAGAUA
RNAcentral lists this ribosomal RNA (417 nucleotides) under uncultured bacterium. RNAcentral's name for it is "partial 16S ribosomal RNA". It matches the Rfam family "Bacterial small subunit ribosomal RNA", at positions 355 to 784 of the family's 1533-position model. The record is from RNAcentral.